RNAcentral lists this ribosomal RNA (446 nucleotides) under uncultured bacterium. RNAcentral describes it as "partial 16S ribosomal RNA". It matches the Rfam family "Bacterial small subunit ribosomal RNA", at positions 354 to 796 of the family's 1533-position model. The record is from RNAcentral.
GUAGGGAAUAUUGGGCAAUGGAGGCAACUCUGACCCAGCCAUGCCGCGUGCAGGAAGACGGUCCUCUGGAUUGUAAACUGCUUUUGAAUGGGAAGAACAUACGGUUUGCGAACCGUACUGACGGUACUAUUAGAAUAAGCACCGGCUAACUCCGUGCCAGCAGCCGCGGUAAUACGGAGGGUGCAAGCGUUAUCCGGAUUUAUUGGGUUUAAAGGGUGCGUAGGCGGCCUUAUAAGUCGGUGGUUAAAGGUAGCAGCUUAACUGUUUUACAUGCCAUCGAUACUGUAGGGCUUGAGUGAUUUGGAGGUAGCUAGAAUUCCCUGUGUAGCGGUGAAAUGCAUAGAUACGGGGAGGAAUAUCGAUUGCGAAGGCAUGUUACUACGAAUUAACUGACGCUGAGGCACGAAAGCGUGGGGAUCAAACAGGAUUAGAUACCCUUGUAGUCC